This is a transfer RNA of Felis catus (domestic cat), 85 nucleotides long. It matches the Rfam family "tRNA". From Rfam's summary of the family: Transfer RNA (tRNA) molecules are approximately 80 nucleotides in length. Their secondary structure includes four short double-helical elements and three loops (D, anti-codon, and T loops). Lineage: Eukaryota; Metazoa; Chordata; Mammalia; Carnivora; Felidae. The record is from Rfam.
GCCUGAGUGGCUCAGUUGGUUAAGCACCUGACUUUGGCUCAGGUCAUGAUUUCACCGUUUGUGGGUUCGAGCCCUGUGUCUGGCU